This 907-nucleotide ribosomal RNA is filed under the name Omadius occipitalis. RNAcentral's name for it is "SSU rRNA". It matches the Rfam family "Eukaryotic small subunit ribosomal RNA", at positions 55 to 902 of the family's 1831-position model. Lineage: Eukaryota; Metazoa; Arthropoda; Insecta; Coleoptera; Cleridae. The record is from RNAcentral.
AUGUCUCAGUACAAGCCACAUUAAGGUGAAACCGCGAAAGGCUCAUUNNNUCAGUUAUGGUUCCUUAGAUCGUACCCACAUUUACUUGGAUAACUGUGGUAAUUCUAGAGCUAAUACAUGCAAACAGAGCUCCGACCGGAGACGGAAGGAGCGCUUUUAUUAGAUCAAAACCAAUCGGUGGCGGGCUUGCUCGUCAUCGUAUAACUUGGUGACUCUGAAUAACUUUAAGCUGAUCGCACGGUCUCGCACCGGCGACGCAUCUUUCAAAUGUCUGCCUUAUCAACUGUCGAUGGUAGGUUCUGCGCCUACCAUGGUCGUAACGGGUAACGGGGAAUCAGGGUUCGAUUCCGGAGAGGGAGCCUGAGAAACGGCUACCACAUCCAAGGAAGGCAGCAGGCGCGCAAAUUACCCACUCCCGGCACGGGGAGGUAGUGACGAAAAAUAACGAUACGGGACUCAUCCGAGGCCCCGUAAUCGGAAUGAGUACACUCUAAACCCUUUAACGAGGAUCAAUUGGAGGGCAAGUCUGGUGCCAGCAGCCGCGGUAAUUCCAGCUCCAAUAGCGUAUAUUAAAGUUGUUGCGGUUAAAAAGCUCGUAGUCGAAUUUGUGUCCCGCGCCGCCGGUUCAUCGUCCGCGGUGUCAACUGGCGUGUCGCGGGACGUCCUGCCGGUGGGCUUAGCUCUCCGGAGCGAAGCCCAACUCAAUCCCGCCGCGGUGCUCUUUACUGAGUGUCGAGGUGGGCCGGCACGUUUACUUUGAACAAAUUAGAGUGCUUAAAGCAGGCUAAAAUUUCGCCUGAAUACUGUGUGCAUGGAAUAAUGGAAUAGGACCUCGGUUCUAUUUUGUUGGUUUUCGGAACCCCGAGGUAAUGAUUAAUAGGAACGGAUGGGGGCAUUCGUAUUGCGA